Molecule: ribosomal RNA, 253 nt
Filed under: uncultured bacterium
Lineage: Bacteria
Description: partial 16S ribosomal RNA
Rfam family: Bacterial small subunit ribosomal RNA
Source: RNAcentral
UACGUAGGGACCUAGCGUUGUCCGGAAUCAUUGGGCGUAAAGCGCGCGUAGGCGGCCCGGUAAGUCCGUUGUAAAAGUCAAAGGCUCAACCUUUGAAUGCCGAUGGAUACUGCCGGGCUAGAGUCCGGAAGAGGCGAGUAGAAUUCCUGGUGUAGCGGUGGAAUGCGCAGAUAUCAGGAGGAACACCGGUGGCGAAGGCGGGUCUCUGGGCCGUAACUGACGCUGAGGAGCGAAAGCGUGGGGAGCGAACAGG